Molecule: ribosomal RNA, 423 nt
Filed under: uncultured bacterium
Lineage: Bacteria
Description: bacterial SSU rRNA
Rfam family: Bacterial small subunit ribosomal RNA
Source: RNAcentral
GGAAUAUUGGACAAUGGGGGAAACCCUGAUCCAGCGACGCCGCGUGUGUGAAGGAGGCCUGCGGGUUGUAAAGCACUUUUAGUGGGGAUGAAAUGUGCAGGGUUAAUACCUCUGCAUUUUGACCUAACCCACAGAAAAAGCACCGGCUAACUCUGUGCCAGCAGCCGCGGUAAUACAGAGGGUGCAAGCGUUAAUCGGAAUUACUGGGCGUAAAGCGUGCGUAGACGGUUACAUAAGUCGGGUGUGAAAGCCCCGGGCUCAACCUGGGAAUUGCAUUCGAGACUGCGUAGCUAGGGUGCGGAAGAGGGAAGCGGAAUUUCCGGUGUAGCGGUGAAAUGCGUAGAUAUCGGAAGGAACACCAGUGGCGAAAGCGGCUUCCUGGUCCAGCACCGACGUUCAGGCACGAAAGCGUGGGGAGCAAAC